Non-coding RNA from Nothobranchius furzeri (turquoise killifish), 1096 nucleotides. The record is from RefSeq and is a predicted model, not a curated record. NCBI's taxonomy places the organism in Eukaryota, Metazoa, Chordata, Actinopteri, Cyprinodontiformes, Nothobranchiidae.
ACUCUGAGAGGUGCUAUACAAGUGCGGGUCAUUUAUCAUUUUUCCCAAUAAUCUGGCAGAAAUGACUUAGAAGCUUGUUUAAAGCAGCGUUGUUGACUUCUUAAGCGUUUCAGGAAGUAAGACUCUGUGAUACAAUCGUUUAUGCAACUAAAGCCUUGAUGGAUCAAAUUCCUUAACCUUAAAUGUUAUGGUUAGAGAUGUUCUCAUACCUGUCUUACUAAAGAGAAAUAUUAUUACAUCACAGAGACUAAAUUAACUUAUUUAAUAUACUUCAUGAAUCAUUCUUAUUGGUAAACAGGGAUGAGGCUGAUAUUUAUAACUCUGAUGCUUGAUUUUAGACUUAAAAUACUUUAGAAAUUAGAUUAGUUUUAUUUGCAGCCCACGAUAAAUCAGAUCGUCCUGGUUUUUAUCAAAAGUGCUGUUUUUUCUUGUUUUGUUUUUUUUCUUGUCUGAUUCUUUGUGAUUUCCGUCUCUGGCAGGUGGCAAAGGUGGAGUACGUACGACGGCGGCCAAAGCUGAGGGAGGUGCCGGUGACCCUGGAGGAUCACUUAGAGUGUGUCUGUACCAAUAAACAGCACAUCGACCUGAACCCUGACACAGAUAAUGGCAUCAGAUGAAGAGGAACAACCUGGUGACUCAGUGUAGGAAAGACAAAGAUCUAAACAAGAACCACCCAGAACAUCCUCUCAGCUGUAAAUCAACCAGCAGGAGUAAUGGAGUCUAACAAUAUUAUGGGAUGUUUGGCAUUCUCACAGAGGACGAUGAUUUCUCAGUGAAGAGAAGAAACUUGUCAGCCCAACAGAACUGAUCUGGGAUCUGUGACUCUGGGAAAAAUCUUACCUGUCCUGAUCUUUCACAUUAGUGGGACUGAUAUUUUAGGUUGGACUGUUUUUUCCACAAAUAGUGACAUGGGAUUGGUUUUGUUACUCCUUCCUCUGUAAAAACAGAAAAUAAACUCACUCAUGCAUUCAUAUCUUUAUGUUUUUAUAACAUUAUGCUUUUAUUGCUGUUUGUUUAUAUUUCUGGUUUAUUUUCUGCAUUAGGAUUAAAAAUGUGGAGACACGUUACUGACAAUAAAGUCUAUAUAUGAAACAAA